This 45-nucleotide non-coding RNA is filed under the name Schistosoma mattheei. Lineage: Eukaryota; Metazoa; Platyhelminthes; Trematoda; Strigeidida; Schistosomatidae. The record is from RNAcentral.
AUCCAGUUGACGAGCCCCAAAUAGGACGAAACACGCGUCCUGGAU